RNAcentral lists this unclassified non-coding RNA (171 nucleotides) under uncultured Eurotiomycetes. Its description in RNAcentral is "sequence contains ITS2". The record is from RNAcentral. Lineage: Eukaryota; Fungi; Ascomycota; Eurotiomycetes.
CUACUCUCAAGCACGGCUUGUUUGUUGAGCUAUUUGUCCCAGUGGGACAGGCUUGAAAUGCAGUGGCGGAUGCUGGGUUUGGUGCCCGAGUGUAUCGAGCUUUGUCACACGCUCUGGUGGCCCAGCUGGCAUUCUGUCCAAAAAUUUUUAAUAUAUAUAUAUAUAUAUCUG